UAAGCAAUUAUACCGCGAAACUGCGAAUGGCUCAUUAUAUAAGUUAUAGUUUAUUUGAUAGCACCUUACUACAUGGAUAACUGUGGUAAUUCUAGAGCUAAAACAUGCUAAAAAUCCCGACUUCGGAAGGGAUGUGUUUAUUAGAUUAAAAACCAAUGCCCUUCGGGGCUGCUUGGUGAUUCAUAAUAACCUCUCGAAUCGCACGGCCUUGCGCCGGCGAUGGUUCAUUCAAAUUUCUUCCCUAUCAACUUUCGAUGCGAAGGUAUUGUCUUCGCAUGGUUACAACGGGUAACGGAGGGUUAGGGCUCGACCCCGGAGAAGGAGCCUGAGAAACGGCUACUACAUCCAAGGAAGGCAGCAGGCGCGCAAAUUACCCAAUCCCGACACGGGGAGGUAGUGACAAUAAAUACUGAUACAGGGCUCUUUUGGGUCUUGUAAUUGGAAUGAGUACAAUUUAAAUCCCUUAACGAGGAACAAUUGGAGGGCAAGUCUGGUGCCAGCAGCCGCGGUAAUUCCAGCUCCAAUAGCGUAUAUUAAAGUUGUUGUGGUUAAAAAGCUCGUAGUUGAACCUUGGGCCUGGCUGGCCGGUCCCCCUCACCGGGUGCACUGGUCCGGCCGGGCCUUUCCCUCUGUGGAACCGCAUGCCCUUCACUGGGUGUGCCGGGGAAACAGGACUUUUACUUUGAAAAAAUUAGAGUGCUCCAGGCAGGCCUAUGCUCGAAUACAUUAGCAUGGAAUAAUAGAAUAGGACGUGUGGUUCUAUUUUGUUGGUUUCUAGGACCGCCGUAAUGAUUAAUAGGGACAGUCGGGGGCAUCAGUAUUCAAUUGUCAGAGGUGAAAUUCUUGGAUCUAUUGAAGACUAACUACUGCGAAAGCAUUUGCCAAGGAUGUUUUCAUUGAUAAGGAACCAAAGUUAGGGGAUCGAAGACGAUCAGAUACCGUCGUAGUCUUAACUAUAAACUAUGCCGACUAGGGAUCGGACGGUGUUUAUACUUGACCCGUUCGGCACC
This 1010-nucleotide ribosomal RNA is filed under the name Graphium penicillioides. RNAcentral describes it as "SSU rRNA". It matches the Rfam family "Eukaryotic small subunit ribosomal RNA", at positions 66 to 1087 of the family's 1831-position model. The record is from RNAcentral. Lineage: Eukaryota; Fungi; Ascomycota; Sordariomycetes; Microascales; Graphiaceae.